Molecule: long non-coding RNA, 2180 nt
Organism: Bubalus bubalis (water buffalo)
Lineage: Eukaryota; Metazoa; Chordata; Mammalia; Artiodactyla; Bovidae
Exons: 3
Source: RefSeq, a predicted model, not a curated record
UGGAUGGCAUCACUGACUCAUUGGACGUGAGUGAGCAAACUGGGAAAUAGCGAAGGACAGGGAAGCCUGGCAUACUGCAGUUCAUGGUGUUGCAAAGAGUUGGACACAACUUAGUAACUGAACAAGAACCCCAACAUUUCCCUUUGGGCACUUCAUUUUUGUGAAAUAUUUUGGUUAUUUUCCUCUCUGGUGUUCGAAGAAGAGAUCAACAGUUGCUGUGACUGACUUCCUGCUGAGCUGCUAUGAGGAAGCAAGCAGGUCUCCAAAAAUGGACCCUUACAGUCAUGGAUGGAAAGAAAAAACUGUAUUCUGAGAGGAGGGUUUGAUUUUUUUUUUUAAAUCACAGUUGUGAAUUACAGUGGUCAGAGCAUGCAAGCUAGAUCCACUCUUCACUCCUGGCACGUCUGAAGUUGGCUACCUACUCUCUGACCCACCUCACCCUCACCUUUGAAAUACUUGACAGUCUUCACUUUCAACUCCAGGGUAGCGUCCUCGUCGCACACAAACACUGUGCGGGGAUGCUGCUGGAAGGCAGACACGGUCCACAUGUGGUUCACUCCCUCCUCGAUGGCCUUGUACAGAGCAAACGCCUUGUGAGCACCUGUGAUGAGGAUCAUCACCUGGGGAUCAGAAGACAAGCCUGUGAUGGAGGAUAAGAAGCAGCAAAACUGGAAGUCCAGACACCUGAAUUCUAGUCUGGCUGCCCAAACUGAUCGUAAGGACUACUGUUUUUAUAUGUCAUUCUAAGUCGUUAGCAUGGGGCACACUAUGCUCCAUGCUCUAUGUGCUUUAUCACACAAGUAGCCCGAAGUGGGGAGCAUCAUUAUCCCUACAUUCUAGGAUAAGGAAGUAGGUUCUGUGAUGGGGGUUUAAGUAGCCUGCCCCAGGUUGUUUCUAACCUAGAGUCCGUGCUCUGACCACCACGUAAUUGUGCCUUCUGGCACCUCUGAUGAUGUCUGUGAAAGUGCCCUGUGAACACAUGUGCCGUGCACACCGAGGCCCACACCUUAUCCCAACUGUUCUGACACUAGGUCCCAGGGCUUCUAGGGUGGGUGAGUUUUCAGUGACAAACUGAAAAAGAGGGGUCACAAUCGGCACUGUCUACAAGGAGGCCUUGGAAGCAAUGGUGAGAGUUAUCUGUGUGGCUGCUAAGGUUGAAUCCAAAUAAGGCUGCCCCUUAAUCUGGUCACUUUUCAAUUCAGAGUAUUAGACCUGCUCAUGUGACUUGGAGUCAUGCUUUUUGUCUAAGUAAAACAGGCACAGACUCCCCUCAACGCUUAAAAUAUCAAGAUGUCAAGUGUUGGAAAGUGAUUAUAAAUAGCUCUCCAUAUACCCUUUCAUUGUAAUUCACUUGUAUCAUGGAGUUGUGAGCAGGAUCUACUGUUCCUUGCUUGAAAGAUGAAAAAACAGAGGCACAAAGAGAAAUGUGACUUGGAUGCCAGAAUUCAUUUUCAAAAAGAGAAUUUCCAGAUUUCCAGCCCCAGGUCCUUUCUGCACACUGCAGGAAGAGCCCUCAAACCACAGUAUUUACCAAAACCAGCAAAAUGAUCUCCCUAGGUACUGAUUCAAGGUUACCCAACAGAAAUCUGCUGCCAUUUCACAAAAGUUCAUUUUAGACAGGGGAUCUUUUUCACUGAUUUACAUGUUUGUUUACAGACUUGGGCAAGGAAAAGUUGAAGCUAAAAUUUCUGUAGCUGCUUCUCACUGAAUAUAUCAGAAAUGAAGAGAAAAAGCUUCUAAUGAAAGUAAGGAAACUGGAGCCACCAAAAAAUUCUAAUGAUACCCAGAUUUCUAUGGAAAGACUUAACUAAAUUCAGGUCAAGAUACUAUUUCUAUCACACUUCACAUUUAUGAAUCUCUACACACAGGGCUAUAAGCACAAGCAUCUUGUAGUUGCAGGGGGAGCUCCCUUCAAGCAGUGACUGACCGCCACCAACUGCAGGGAACCAGAGGGUCCCCUCAGUACCUGGGCAGGUACAAAUUCAUAUUCUGACAUUAGUGAUGCUGGGUAAGCAGAGACUAGGAGCCUGCAGCUUCCUGGGCAGUCACUGUCGAAAGGUUUCACCUCACACUGGGAAGAAUGGUUACUUCCAGAGAAGGAGAACAGUGAAGGGUCUCAGUUGGGACUUUAGCCUUAUUUAUAAUGUCUUCAUUUUUAAUAAAAGUGAAUUCAGGUGGUA